GCUGGGAACGCGCGGCUUGGCCUCCUCGCGGCCGGUCCUGGCUGAGGAACCAGCAGCAAGUCCUUACAGGCCUUCCCUGCAGCACCUCCAGGGACUUAAACCUGGCCCUGCCACGUGGUUACCCUGAUCUGUCUGCCUGGAGAUGAGCAAAGGUCAGAGAGAGGGACCAGACCUCAGCAGACCAAACCAGCAGCCUCUCCUGAACCCCUACCCCCCAGCUCUUCCAGAAGUGCAACACGUCAUCAGCAUGCAGGCUUUCUGCUGGACCGAAAUGAAAAAGCUGAUCCUCAAAUUCAUAAUGGAAUUACAAGGAGACCUCCCAAUGCCUCAGUGUGUUUACCAGCCUGGAAGAUCUUUGAACCCCAUAAUUUAGAAAGGGUUUUAAUGGAAGCACCAUUACACAGACAUUAUUGAUUAAAUCAUUGACUAUUGGUGAUUAACUUAACCUCCAGACCUCCCUUCUUGCCUAGUGGGGCUGAACAUUCCAAAACCUGAUUAGGCCUUUCUGGCAACCUGGCUCCAUCCUGAAGCUAUCUAGGGGGACCCUGCCACCAGUCAUCUCAUUAGCAUAUGAAAUGCACUCAUCACUAUGGAGAUUUCAAGGGUUUUAGGAGCUUUGUGCCAGUACCUGGGGAAAGAGACCAAAUAUAUAUUUCUUAAUGUAUCACACUCCUCAACAAUAAAAAGGAGUAAACAUGUAAUAACAUGGAUGUUUCUAAAAAGUUCAUUUAAAAGGAGCUAAAUCAAAUAAGUGUAACCAUGUAAACGACUACAUGUUGUACUUGUCUAGUAAUACAGAGUUUCUAGGAAAGGCAAACAGAUCAGUGGUUGGGUAGGGCUGGGAGUGGGAGCAGGAUUGACUGCAGAAGGGCACAAAACCC
This is a long non-coding RNA of Lutra lutra (Eurasian river otter), 881 nucleotides long. RefSeq lists it as uncharacterized. The record is from RefSeq and is a predicted model, not a curated record. The transcript is spliced from 3 exons. Lineage: Eukaryota; Metazoa; Chordata; Mammalia; Carnivora; Mustelidae.